GUGGGCAAUCUGCCCUUCACUCUGGGACAAGCCCUGGAAACGGGGUCUAAUACCGGAUAUGACCAUCUUGGGCAUCCUUGAUGGUGUAAAGCUCCGGCGGUGAAGGAUGAGCCCGCGGCCUAUCAGCUUGUUGGUGAGGUAAUGGCUCACCAAGGCGACGACGGGUAGCCGGCCUGAGAGGGCGACCGGCCACACUGGGACUGAGACACGGCCCAGACUCCUACGGGAGGCAGCAGUGGGGAAUAUUGCACAAUGGGCGAAAGCCUGAUGCAGCGACGCCGCGUGAGGGAUGACGGCCUUCGGGUUGUAAACCUCUUUCAGCAGGGAAGAAGCGAAAGUGACGGUACCUGCAGAAGAAGCGCCGGCUAACUACGUGCCAGCAGCCGCGGUAAUACGUAGGGCGCAAGCGUUGUCCGGAAUUAUUGGGCGUAAAGAGCUCGUAGGCGGCUUGUCACGUCGAUUGUGAAAGCCCGAGGCUUAACCUCGGGUCUGCAGUCGAUACGGGCUAGCUAGAGUGUGGUAGGGGAGAUCGGAAUUCCUGGUGUAGCGGUGAAAUGCGCAGAUAUCAGGAGGAACACCGGUGGCGAAGGCGGAUCUCUGGGCCAUUACUGACGCUGAGGAGCGAAAGCGUGGGGAGCGAACAGGAUUAGAUACCCUGGUAGUCCACGCCGUAAACGGUGGGAACUAGGUGUUGGCGACAUUCCACGUCGUCGGUGCCGCAGCUAACGCAUUAAGUUCCCCGCCUGGGGAGUACGGCCGCAAGG
RNAcentral lists this ribosomal RNA (764 nucleotides) under Actinomycetales bacterium TLI147. RNAcentral describes it as "bacterial SSU rRNA". It matches the Rfam family "Bacterial small subunit ribosomal RNA", at positions 117 to 893 of the family's 1533-position model. The record is from RNAcentral. Lineage: Bacteria; Bacillati; Actinomycetota; Actinomycetes; Actinomycetales.